Molecule: long non-coding RNA, 2046 nt
Organism: Pollicipes pollicipes
Lineage: Eukaryota; Metazoa; Arthropoda; Thecostraca; Pollicipedomorpha; Pollicipedidae
Exons: 3
Source: RefSeq, a predicted model, not a curated record
CACCCGGCUUCUCAGGAGCAAAAGGAGGGCGCCGAGGCGGCGGCCGCCCCGGCCAGCCCGCAGCGCAUCCAGCUGCUGCUCACCGAGCUGGACGUGCGCACGGUCGAGAUCAACGGCGAGACGGCCCAGGUGCUGGUGCUGCCCUCCGACGGCGACCGGCCGCAGGAGUCGGGCGAGACUGCCGACCUGCACCUGCUGGGCUGCGCCGAGGCGCUGGUGGUGGAGGCCGACGAGUCGCCCGGCUCGGGCGACGCCCCCUCGCCGGCGCUCUCCGCCGAUGACCCGGACCCGCUCUCGGUGGUGGUGGAGGAGCAGGCAUGAGCCGCCCCGCCGGCGGAGGAGGCAGGACUGGAGUGGCGCGGUUGCGGCGCUGAGCACGCACUCUGCCUCGGUCGUGGUGUAGGAGGACGUGUGACCCGGGGCGGCCCUCGUGCCGGGCAGGAGGCGCGGGCGCUGCUGUAAAAUGGUGAGGUGUUGUGUGGUGUGGUGUCGUAGCCCGGUGGCCAGGAGAACGCAGUCUGGACGCCUCGUGGCACGUGGGGUGGGGUGCCGUGAACGGGUGGCUAGGAGAACACAGUCUGGACGCCUCGUGGCACUUGCGGUGGGGUGUCUUGGCCCGGGGGUAAGAGGAGCGGAGUCUGAACGCCUCGUGGCGCGCAUCGCUGGUGGUGAGCUGCGAUUGAGCUGUGUAAGAGGAGGGAGGCGGUUGCCCUGAGUGCGUGUAACGUCGGUGAGUGACAGUUGGCACUUCAUGGCGUUUCACCCACACUGGCGCCGCGCCGAGCAGUCGAGUUCUGGAUGUUGGCCUCAAGCGGGUUUAGCACCGUAGUCUAGGCCGUUUAUGUAGCGGAACGUGCUGUGCGUUUUCCCCUCUUUGUUGCGGUGUCGUCACGUAGUUUACUUCGUGUUGCCAUGGAUGACGAUCAUGAUUGUGAUGACGCCCAGUGGCUCAGUUCUGCUUUUGCUCGGUACGUAAUCUCUGUCUGUGUGAGUGUGGCUUAUGCUUUGAAGUGUGAGACCAGUUUGGCUGCGGUGUUAUAUUUACCAAAGAGUCGUUGCAGUUGGUCGUAGGUGGGUCGUUUUUUUACGGAUUGGCGUGUUUGCGCCCGGCCUAUCGUGUGUCGGCGAUCGUCAGGUUCCACUCCAUGGGCGUUGGUCAGACGACGCCUGUUGAUUCCCAGUCAGGUGAUGGAGACCGCUCCGAUCGGAACAUGUAUGGGUAGAUUUACUCCCCAUGGCCAAAUCCGCUUGGCGUCCGUGUUUCAAUUGAAAUGCAAGCAAAGGGCUGGACAGACCAGUGCUGGUGCUAUCCUGGCGAGUGACACGAAUGAUCCUGCGCAUAGUAUUGCUAGGGUUGAAUCAAUCCAUCUUAAAUUUCUGGGCUGUGCUAUUGCUUCCUAACUUCUAAAUGGUGUCUCCAACAUGGCUUAUGGCGAUGCUGAUCAGGUGAACAGUUCAAUUUUACAGCGGUUUUGGAACAGCCUGGGAUAGGUGCUGCCAUCUUUUGGGCCAUAGCACUAUUUAUAUUUCCCAUAACCCUCGCCGAUGCCCUUCCUUUGCCCGGCCGGUCAUUGGUCGCUGCUCCGUGGUUGCAACAGAGAUAAAUGUGAAACGUGAGUAAAAGACAACGCAUAUUGUCUCACAACUUAUGGUAUGAAUAUUGGGCUAAGCUACGUGGCAUGGAUUGUCAAUAAAAGCCCGGAACAUCGUGUACCAGUUAAUGCCGUUCCAUCAAGUGCUGCUAGUGAGCAACCAGCCCGGUUGUGUUUAUUUCGGUGUGUCCGAAUGGACUGGUGACCCGGCGAUAUAUGGCUGAACCGUCAAAGCGCGCAAAAUUGACCAUAGUGCCGCAAGCUCCUGUGUUUCAGUGGUCCACGGGACUACAAGCCAGCAUUUUCACAGGCGCAUCGAUUAAUUACGUGUUCAAUCUUCCUCGACUAAAAAACAUGAUAAAUGGAGAGUAUGCUCCCAAGCGGUUUUGCGAUGAUACCAAAAUUUCCGUUGUAUGGAAGUUGCAAGCACUAUAAUACAUGUAAUGUGUCCGUC